Non-coding RNA from Callithrix jacchus (white-tufted-ear marmoset), 2729 nucleotides. Lineage: Eukaryota; Metazoa; Chordata; Mammalia; Primates; Cebidae. The record is from RefSeq and is a predicted model, not a curated record.
AUGGUGCCUGCGAGAGUCGGGCCCUGUCUCGGGUUCCCAGUGUCUCCGAGUUUCAUCCAUCCCGCCCACUCGCUUGCUGAGGGCCGCGCCCCGUGCCGCCGCCCCCCGGGGGCCACCCGCACUGCUCGUGGACUGAGGCCUUACUGCUUGGUGUCAGACUGCCCACCCCAGAGUGCCUGUCAGGGCCUGUGCAUCCGCACCCGGAGCCGUCGGUUAGGAGCUUCCAGAGCGUUCUCGACAUCGCCAGCCCCGCAGUCGCGCCUGGGCAGCACACUCGAUAUGGACCAGUUCAUGCGCAAGAGGAUCGAGGCGAUCCGCGGGCAGAUCCUGAGCAAGCUGAAGCUUACCAGACCCCCAGAAGACUAUCCUGAGCCCGAGGAAGUCCCCCCGGAGGUGAUUUCCAUCUACAACAGCACCAGGGACUUGUCCAGGAGAAGGUGAGCCGGAGGCCUGCCACCUGCAAGCGCGAGAGGAGCGACGAGGAGUACUACGCCAAGGAGGUUUACAAAAUAGACACGCCGCCCUUCUUCCCCUCCGAAAAUGCCAUCCCGCCCACUUUCUACAGACCCGACUUCAGAAUUGUCCGAUUUGAUGUCUCAGCAAUGGAGAAGAAUGCUUCCAAUUUGGUGAAAGCAGAGUUCAGAGUCUUUCGUUUGCAGAACCCAAAAGCCAGAGUGCCUGAACAACGGAUCGAGCUGUAUCAGAUUCUCAAGUCCAAAGAUUGAACAUCUCUAACCCAGCGCUACAUCAACAGCAAAGUUGUGAAAACAAGAGCAGAAGGCGAAUGGUUCUCUUUUGAUGUAACUGAUGCUGUUCAUGAAUGGCUUCACCAUAAAGACAGGAAUCUGGGGUUUAAAAUAAGCUUACACUGUCCCUGUUGUACUUUUGUACCAUCUAAUAAUUACAUCAUCCCAAAUAAAAGCGAAGAACUAGAAGCAAGAUUUGCAGACUUGAGUCACAACAGACCAACCGGCGGAAGACGCGUGCUUUGGAUGCAGCCUAUUGCUUUAGAAAUGUGCGGGGCAAUUGCUGCCUACGCCCACUUUAUAUUGAUUUCAAGAGGGCUCUUGGGUGGAAAUGGAUACACGAACCCAAAGGGUACAAUCCCAACUUCUGUGCUGGAGCGUGCGCAUAUUUAUGGAGUUCAGACACUCAGCACAGCAGGGUCCUGAGCUUAUAUAAUACCAUAAAUCCAGAAGCAUCUGCUUCUCCCUGCUGUGUGUCCCAAGAUUUAGAACCCCUAACCAUUCUCUACUACAUCGGCAAAACAUCCAAGAUUGAAAAGCUUUCUAAUAUGAUUGUAAAGUCUUGCACUACAAAUGCAUUUUUUAUGAUAUUUGCCCUACUUGUGCUUUGUGUAUUGUUCAUUAUUAUGACAUAAGCUACCUGGGUCCACUUGUCCUUUUUUUCUUUUACAAAAAAGAUGGGUUCGAGUUCAGCCGUCUUCCUUCAUCUUCUAAGCAUCAUUACUAUGUCAGACGUCAACAAGCUUUUAUGUUAGGAAAAGGAGAAAUGCUAUAGAUACAUAGAAAAUUGAGGUCAAAUGUUUUAGUUUUAGCAAGGAUUUAGGAAUCUAACUAAAACUCAGACGCUUGAUUGAGUUAAGAAAGUUUUCUCUACCUUGGUGUAAUCAAUAUUUUUAUAAAAUUCUAUUGUUAUUACAAAGCAGACACUUCAUAGGAAACAUCUUUUUCUUUAGUCAGGUUUUUAAUAUUCAGGGGGAAAUUGAAAGAUAGAUAUUUUAGUUGAUUUUUCAAAAGGGAAAAAGUCCAGGUCAGCUUAAGUCAUUUUGUGUAUUUCACUGAAGUUAAGGUUUUCAUAAAUGUUCUGUCAAGGUGAAAAGGCACAAGCCAAUUUUUCCUAUGAUCAAAAAAUUCUUUCUUUCCUCUGUGUGAGAGUUAUCUAUAGCUGAGGCUAAAGUUUACCUUGCUUUAAUAAAUAAUUUGCCACAUCAUUGCAGAAGAGGUAUCUUCAUUUGGGGUUUAUAGAAUAUGUCAGUUUGUCACUUUUCCCUUAUUUAGCUUUCAAAUAAAAAUUAAUAGGUAAAGCAAUGGAAUAUUUGCAGUUUCACCUAAAGAGCAGCAUAAGGAGGUGAGAAUCCAAAGUGAAGUUGUCUGAUAUGGUCUACUUCUUUUUUGGAAUUUCCUGACCAUUAAUUAAAGAUUGGAUUUGCAAGUGUGAAAACUGGAAAAGCAAGAGACGGGAUGCCACAAUAGUAAACAGCCCUUGAGUUGGAUGUAACCCAAUCCCAGCUUUGAGUGUGUGUUGAUUAUUUCUUUUUUGUCUUCCACUUUUCUAUUAAUUAUGUGUAAAUCAUUUUUACUUCUGCAGGUAUUUUCCUCUCAGAUAGGAUGACAUUUUGUUUUGUAUUAUUUUGUCUUUCCUCAUGAAUGCACUGAUAAAAUUUUAAAAGCUCUAUUUUAAGAUCUCUUGAAUCUUUUUUUUUUAAUUUGGGGGGUUCUAUAAGAUCUUUAUUUCCCAUAAGUAAAUUUUGCUGUGGGAGGGGGGUGGAGGCGGGAAGGCAGGGGGGAAGUGGUAGUAUGCAAGUGGGCAGCAAUUUUUUUUGUGUUAAUCAGCAGUACAAUUUGAUCAGUGGCAUGGUUUGAAAAACGGAAUAUAAGAUAAGCUGUUUUGUAUUUUGAUGACCAAUUAUACUGUAUUUUAACACGAUGUAUGUCUGUUUUUGUGGUGCCCUAGUGGUAAAUAAAUUAUUUCAAUGAUAAAAAAAA